GAUCCUGGCUCAGAUUGAACGCUGGCGGCAGGCCUAACACAUGCAAGUCGAGCGGCAGCGGGAAAGUAGCUUGCUACUUUUGCCGGCGAGCGGCGGACGGGUGAGUAAUGCCUGGGAAAUUGCCCAGUCGAGGGGGAUAACAGUUGGAAACGACUGCUAAUACCGCAUACGCCCUACGGGGAAAGCAGGGGACCUUCGGGCCUUGCGCGAUUUGAUAUGCCCACGGUGGGAUUAGCUAGUUGGUGAGG
This 248-nucleotide ribosomal RNA is filed under the name uncultured bacterium. RNAcentral's name for it is "partial 16S ribosomal RNA". It matches the Rfam family "Bacterial small subunit ribosomal RNA", at positions 15 to 257 of the family's 1533-position model. The record is from RNAcentral.